CGUCCGUCGUGAAGAGGGAAACAACCCAGACCGCCAGCUAAGGUCCCAAAGUCAUGGUUAAGUGGGAAACGAUGUGGGAAGGCCCAGACAGCCAGGAUGUUGGCUUAGAAGCAGCCAUCAUUUAAAGAAAGCGUAAUAGCUCACUGGUCGAGUCGGCCUGCGCGGAAGAUGUAACGGGGCUAAACCAUGCACCGAAGCUGCGGCAGCGACACUAUGUGUUGUUGGGUAGGGGAGCGUUCUGUAAGCCUGUGAAGGUGGCCUGUGAGGGUUGCUGGAGGUAUCAGAAGUGCGAAUGCUGACAUAAGUAACGAUAAAGCGGGUGAAAAGCCCGCUCGCCGGAAGACCAAGGGUUCCUGUCCAACGUUAAUCGGGGCAGGGUGAGUCGACCCCUAAGGCGAGGCCGAAAGGCGUAGUCGAUGGGAAACAGGUUAAUAUUCCUGUACUUGGUGUUACUGCGAAGGGGGGACGGAGAAGGCUAUGUUGGCCGGGCGACGGUUGUCCCGGUUUAAGCGUGUAGGCUGGUUUUCCAGGCAAAUCCGGAAAACCAAGGCUGAGGCGUGAUGA
RNAcentral lists this ribosomal RNA (564 nucleotides) under Escherichia coli. Its description in RNAcentral is "partial 23S ribosomal RNA". It matches the Rfam family "Bacterial large subunit ribosomal RNA", at positions 1002 to 1569 of the family's 2925-position model. The record is from RNAcentral. Lineage: Bacteria; Pseudomonadati; Pseudomonadota; Gammaproteobacteria; Enterobacterales; Enterobacteriaceae.